ACUCCUACGGGAGGCAGCAGUGGGGAAUAUUGCACAAUGGGGGAAACCCUGAUGCAGCCAUGCCGCGUGUGUGAAGAAGGCCUUCGGGUUGUAAAGCACUUUCAGUAGGGAGGAAGGUAGUGUAGUUAACACCUGCAUUAUUGCGUUACCUACAGAAGAAGCACCGGCUAAACUCCGUGCCCAGCAGCCGCGGUAAAUACGGAGGGGUGCGAGCGUUAAUCGGAAUUACUGGGCGUAAAGCGCAUGCAGGCGGCCUGUUAAGUCAGAUGUGAAAGCCCGGGGCUU
Molecule: ribosomal RNA, 285 nt
Filed under: uncultured bacterium
Lineage: Bacteria
Description: partial 16S ribosomal RNA
Rfam family: Bacterial small subunit ribosomal RNA
Source: RNAcentral